Long non-coding RNA from Talpa occidentalis (Iberian mole), 1299 nucleotides. RefSeq lists it as uncharacterized. NCBI's taxonomy places the organism in Eukaryota, Metazoa, Chordata, Mammalia, Eulipotyphla, Talpidae. The transcript is spliced from 7 exons. The record is from RefSeq and is a predicted model, not a curated record.
CUUCUUUCCUAAAGUGACAGGGCCAGGCCACAGGCAGAUGAAGGAUGAUGAGAUGUGCCAAAGGCACUUCUGAAACACAGUCACCAAGGAGUCUGAGGAAAAACUUGAGACAAUUCUAAACAGCACUAGGGCCUUCUCAUUCUCGGCAGGAAAGUGUUGAGGACUGUAGGGCAUUUGUUUACUAUGGCAUACAGAAGACUUGUUCCCCAAAGGUGUCCAGCUCUGGACCUCCAGAACCAGUGAAUGUGUAACUUUACAUGGCAAAGUGGAUUUUGCAGAAGUGACUAAGGUCUUGAAAAGGGAAGUUUAUCGUGAUCAUCUAGGGCCCUGGGAAUCACAAAGGUCCUUAUUAAGAAGAUUGCAGGAGAAGUCAAAGUCAGCGGUAAAGAGCCAGCAGGAGUCAGAGGAGAGAAGAUAUCACACUGUUGACUCUGAAGAUGGAGGAAGAAGCAUGAGCCAAGGUGUGCAGGAGGCCCUUAUGAGCUGAAAAGGGCAAGGAAAAGAAGUUCACCCUUCGAGACUCUGGAAGCCUGGACAACACCUUGAGUUUAGCCCAGUGAGGCUGAUUUCUGACCUCUGACUGACAUUUCAACAAGUAUGGCUCUUCUUUACAUGAGCACAGCUUCCAGCUGAAACCACUGAUCCCUCAAAUUUUCAAAGUUCUCUUGAAGCCACUCCAUCAGCACAAGGUGAUCAGCAUUUGAAUGGGGACACCCAGGAAUCUGCACCAUGGAGUGUGGAAUUGUCCUUCCUUUACAAGCUUGGAAAGCAAAAUAAGGUUGACACAAGUGGAAAAGAGAAGCCUGACAUUUCUUCUCUGCUUCAUCUUUCCAGCUCCUCAGUAAAAAGAAGGAAGCAGCAAAUCCAAGGACAUGGUGUGUCAGCGCCUGCAGGGGGCCAACAGGUCGGAGAGUCAGAAGAGAUGGAGAUGGGGCGCAUCUGGGUGGCAACACCAACAUUCGCUGAAUCAAGAGACUGGGAAAGGCUAAGGGAACAGUCAAGGCCUCUUCUGCACGAGAUGGAAAUGUUCACAAGGUUAUGAAGAAAUAAGUGGGGGAGCACAGGGUGUGCUGCGAUGGAGACGGAGAGAGGCAGGCCGCCUCGCCAAAGCGUGUAUUCAGCAGACUGUGUUAGUGAAGAGUACAGAGGGAAGCUGAGUAAACAGAAGUUGAGUUCCUUAAAACCACCUGGGCCUACUCAAACCUACCAAAAUCCCUACGUGUCACUAGAGAAACCUCUAACCUAAUGUGAAGACCACUCUUUGGCCAUAAAGGUACAAUCAAGGUACAGCAACAGGUA